UACGAAGGGGGCUAGCGUUGUUCGGAUUUACUGGGCGUAAAGGGCGCGUAGGCGGAUUUUUAAGUCAGGGGUGAAAUCCCAAGGCUCAACCUUGGAACUGCCUUUGAUACUGGGGAUCUUGAGUCCGGGAGAGGUGAGUGGAACUGCGAGUGUAAAGGUGAAAUUCGUAGAUAUUCGCAAGAACACCAGUGGCGAAGGCGGCUUCCUGGUCUGCGACUGACGCUGUGGCGCGAAAGCUAGGGGAGCAAACGGG
This 253-nucleotide ribosomal RNA is filed under the name uncultured bacterium. Its description in RNAcentral is "partial 16S ribosomal RNA". It matches the Rfam family "Bacterial small subunit ribosomal RNA", at positions 524 to 776 of the family's 1533-position model. The record is from RNAcentral.